GACGAACGCUGGCGGUGUGCUUCACACAUGCAAGUCGAACGGGGUAGCAAUACCCAGUGGCGGACGGGUGAGUAACGCGUAGAAAUCUGCCUUGAGAUGGGGGAUAACAGUCCGAAAGGACUGCUAAUACCGCAUAUGUAUAUAUCCGGACACGGAUGUGUAUGAAAGGAGUAAUCCGUCUUAAGAUGAGUCUGCGUCCGAUUAGCUAGUUGGUAGGUAAAGGCCACCAAGGCGACGAUCGGUAGCUGGUCUGAGAGGAUGAUCAGACCACAAUGGGACUGAGACACGGCCAUACUCCUACGGGAGGCAGCAGUGGGGAAUUUUGUGCAAUGGGGGAAACCCUGACACAGCGACACCGCGUGAGCGAAGAAGCCCUUUGGGGNGUAAAGCUCUGUCGGCUGGAACGAAAAAAU
Molecule: ribosomal RNA, 413 nt
Filed under: uncultured bacterium
Lineage: Bacteria
Description: bacterial SSU rRNA
Rfam family: Bacterial small subunit ribosomal RNA
Source: RNAcentral